UAUACGCAGUGUAUAUAUAAAUAAAUAAAUGUUUCGCAUUUUUAGUGUAGGUAGAUCUCUUCGACUGGUCAUGUUAAUAGUAGCUCGCAAGUCAAAAAAGUGUGGGCACCCCUGAUAUAUAGCAUUAGUAAUAACUAAAAAAACGGUGUAAUUACCAGUCUUGCCUCCCCACAAAGUCUGUAGGUUUGUGCUGUGUUUGUAUGUGUGAUCUGAGCGCCAUCCGGUGGACAGACGACAUUUUUAUUUGAUACUCGCGCCAUUUUUGCGUUGAGUAUGGGCGCAACCAAGUGCAUAAUUGGAGGGGGGCACUCACCCAUUUUCCUUAACAAACGGAAAUAUAUUAAAAACGAGUAGACGUAAAUAAAUAGAAUAGAUGAAAAGACAGAUCAGUUUGCAAGGUUCAUUAAAGGGGGACAUAUAGAAAACAUUUUCUACUGUAUAUUGGGAGGGAAAGAUUGGUAUCACCUCAACAUUGGCGGGGACACGCCCCCCCCAAAAGAAUACGUGGUUACGCCCAUAGUUGUAGGAGACACAGCAGCGACGGAGUCGGAGUAGGAGACACAUUUUUCCUCAGGAGUCACGACACAGCAGACACGGGGUUUUCUUUCUUCAAUUUUAACUUUUCUCAGGAGUUUAAGCCCUUUGUGCUUCUCAGGCCGACGUUUCUGCAGACAUCAUGGCUGGAAAUGCACAGCAGGGCAACCAACAGGCUGUACCACAAGACGUGGUGGCGAGACGAGCGUCCCUGCAGACUUUAAUUGAUGAUGCAUUGCAGGAGCUUCAGAACGUUGUCGAAGGACGGGAUUAAGACAGGUGAGCUGCAUGAUGCUCAUCAUCGAAUGAUCGUUGAGCAUAAGAAGGAGGUGGAAGAGAGGUGUUUGUUGUUGUUGUU
Long non-coding RNA from Ictalurus punctatus (channel catfish), 892 nucleotides. RefSeq lists it as uncharacterized. NCBI's taxonomy places the organism in Eukaryota, Metazoa, Chordata, Actinopteri, Siluriformes, Ictaluridae. The transcript has 6 exons. The record is from RefSeq and is a predicted model, not a curated record.